This 57-nucleotide transfer RNA is filed under the name Rhinebothrium taeniuri. RNAcentral describes it as "tRNA-Pro". Lineage: Eukaryota; Metazoa; Platyhelminthes; Cestoda; Rhinebothriidea; Rhinebothriidae. The record is from RNAcentral.
CUGACUUUAGUUUAAUUAGAAUGAAGGUUUUGGGGAUCUUUGGUCUCCUUUGUGGGA